Molecule: ribosomal RNA, 745 nt
Filed under: uncultured bacterium
Lineage: Bacteria
Description: bacterial SSU rRNA
Rfam family: Bacterial small subunit ribosomal RNA
Source: RNAcentral
ACGCUGGCGGCAGGCCUAACACAUGCAAGUCGAGCGGUAGAGAGAAGCUUGCUUCUCUUGAGAGCGGCGGACGGGUGAGUAAUGCCUAGGAAUCUGCCUGGUAGUGGGGGAUAACGUCCGGAAACGGACGCUAAUACCGCAUACGUCCUACGGGAGAAAGCAGGGGACCUCCGGGCCUUGCGCUAUCAGAUGAGCCUAGGUCGGAUUAGCUAGUUGGUGGGGUAAUGGCUCACCAAGGCGACGAUCCGUAACUGGUCUGAGAGGAUGAUCAGUCACACUGGAACUGAGACACGGUCCAGACUCCUACGGGAGGCAGCAGUGGGGAAUAUUGGACAAUGGGCGAAAGCCUGAUCCAGCCAUGCCGCGUGUGUGAAGAAGGUCUUCGGAUUGUAAAGCACUUUAAGUUGGGAGGAAGGGUUGUAGAUUAAUACUCUGCAAUUUUGACGUUACCGACAGAAUAAGCACCGGCUAACUCUGUGCCAGCAGCCGCGGUAAUACAGAGGGUGCAAGCGUUAAUCGGAAUUACUGGGCGUAAAGCGCGCGUAGGUGGUUUGUUAAGUUGGAUGUGAAAUCCCCGGGCUCAACCUGGGAACUGCAUUCAAAACUGACUGACUAGAGUAUGGUAGAGGGUGGUGGAAUUUCCUGUGUAGCGGUGAAAUGCGUAGAUAUAGGAAGGAACACCAGUGGCGAAGGCGACCACCUGGACUAAUACUGACACUGAGGUGCGAAAGCGUGGGGAGCAAAC